This 108-nucleotide ribosomal RNA is filed under the name Saimiri boliviensis boliviensis (Bolivian squirrel monkey). The record is from RNAcentral. Lineage: Eukaryota; Metazoa; Chordata; Mammalia; Primates; Cebidae.
AUCUGUGGCCAUAUCACCCUGAACGCGCCCCAUUGCAUCUGAUCUUGGAAGCUAAGCAGGGUCAGGCCUGGUUAGUACUUGGAUGGGAGAAAUCCUUUGUUGUGGUCU